GAGGAAAGUCCGGGCAACACAGAGCAUCCUACUUCCUAACAGAAAGCUGUCCGCGAGGGUAGAGUAACGUAGAAGAAAAUAACCGCCAUGCUCUUCCUGAGUAUGGUAAGGGUGAGAAGGUGGGGUAAGAGCCUACCGGCCUUGUGGUGACACAAGGGCUGUACGUCUUGGGAGUUGUAAGGUCAUGUAAACCGACGCUAUGAGAGCUGCUCGCUCCAUGUCGGAGGGUAGACCGCUAAAGCCGGUAUGGCAACAUACGGCUCAGAUAAAUGACAGACACUUCUUGAAUGAAGAAGGAAGAAUGAGGAAUG
RNAcentral lists this RNase P RNA (311 nucleotides) under Bacteroides clarus YIT 12056. RNAcentral's name for it is "RNA component of RNase P". It matches the Rfam family "Bacterial RNase P class A", at positions 43 to 337 of the family's 367-position model. From Rfam's summary of the family: Ribonuclease P (RNase P) is a ubiquitous endoribonuclease, found in archaea, bacteria and eukarya as well as chloroplasts and mitochondria. Its best characterised activity is the generation of mature 5'-ends of tRNAs by cleaving the 5'-leader elements of precursor-tRNAs. Cellular RNase Ps are ribonucleoproteins. Lineage: Bacteria; Pseudomonadati; Bacteroidota; Bacteroidia; Bacteroidales; Bacteroidaceae. The record is from RNAcentral.